CCACAGCUCACAGUCACUGGAUCACAGCCGGACGGCUCGCGACGCCGUCACGGAAAAUAACAGCUGGACACAGACAAACGAGUCCCGCGAAUUGUAUUUUUAAACUGGAGAGACAGCUGACAGGAUGUCGUCAUCUGUAACCGUCACUCGCCACAGUUCUCAAGCGAGAAAGGCAGCGAGGG
Onychostoma macrolepis is the source of this 182-nucleotide long non-coding RNA. RefSeq lists it as uncharacterized. The transcript has 3 exons. NCBI's taxonomy places the organism in Eukaryota, Metazoa, Chordata, Actinopteri, Cypriniformes, Cyprinidae. The record is from RefSeq and is a predicted model, not a curated record.